This 1101-nucleotide long non-coding RNA is filed under the name Oreochromis niloticus (Nile tilapia). RNAcentral's name for it is "lncRNA (ENSONIG00000027485.1)". Lineage: Eukaryota; Metazoa; Chordata; Actinopteri; Cichliformes; Cichlidae. The record is from RNAcentral.
GAAGAAGCUCUAUCACAUCACAGUGCACAAUGCAGUUCACUUUCUAUAUACACAUAUAGAUAAAUAGGUGCAGCUAAUAAUCAUUUGAAUUCUGUUUUGCACUUAUCACUUCUCCGUCUUCUAUGUUGUCUUACGACAAGCUGCGACAUUCAGAUGGAUACUAGGAUGCUCUGAAGCACAUUUAUUGGGCCUCAUUCACUGCUAUCCGUGUAGACUUGUUCUUACCCUGCACACAAAAUAGGGCAGAAGAAGGCAUAACAAUAAAAUCAAAGCACAAGCUCAAUAUCAAUAAUAUGAUAUGGAUGAAAACUCAAAGUUGGAAUGACAACAAAACCCAAACAAGAUACAAAGUAAAAAAUAUAUCAAAAGCUCAACGUUAGUCGACUCCAUCCAUCCAUUCGCAUCCACUUAUCCUUUUCAGGGUCCUUUUCAGGGUCGCAGAGGGCGGUGGAGCCUAUCCCAGCUGUCAUACAGCAAGAGUCAGGGUACACCCUGGACAGGUCGCCAGUCUAUCGCAGGGCUAACACCCUGGAACCUGUUAAAUCUCUUUUCCACUAGCACCCACUCGACUCGACUCAACUACACUUAGUUUCGGCUGUUUUCCAUUAAGUUUUAGUUCCUGGUACCAGGCUCCAAAAAAGCUGACGGAAAUGUGACAUCAGCAGACUACGUGCCACCGAUUGGCCCGGGAGUGACAUCACUGGAUGAGUCGUGAGAGCGACUCCUUCACAAGAAUCAAACCUGUCAGUUUUGAAACCCAGCAACGAGGGAAAUGGCCACACACACAACAACACCGCGGUCCAACGAAACGCACACAUUUACCAUCAGUCCAGCAGCAGCAGACUCCUUGGGCUUAUUACUGCUCAGAGAAGAAAUCUUUGCUCUUCUGGACGUCUGACCUUUAUCAUUUGUGCAUAUGUGCGUUCUGAAGUGGUUUGAAGCAGCGGCGGACGGUCUCCGCUGUUUUCUACCUGCUUCUUCUGCUUUAUAUUCACCGGAGGUCUUUGAGGUGAACUGGAGGAGUGGCUACAUCAGCUUAACUUCAUAUUAACUUAUUGUUAUCAACACAAACUGAAUUAAAGAAAAUUUACAUGCACCAAC